UGCCGUUGUUCAUUCGCAGCACUGCUACAAAUGUUGAGAUUGAGUUGCCUGUUCCAGCCGAUGCUAUCAACCCAAAUGUUUGGACAUCAUUGGGAUCUGCUUCAUAUGCACCAGAAAAUGAUGCUUUGAUCUGGAAAAUUAAAUCUUUUCCUGGUGGUAAGGAAUAUAUGCUUAGAGCGGAGUAUACUCUUCCCAGUAUAACAUCUGAAGACGCAGCUCCUGAGAGAAAAGCUUCUAUACGUGUGAAGUUUGAGAUACCAUAUUUUGUUGUUUCAGGAAUCCAGGUUUCCCCUCUCAAAUACAAUUUUUUUUUUUAUUUUAAUUUUUUAUUGAAUAGAAAUUUCAGAUAUUGUUGCAUGUAUAUCUGCAAUGCUUCAUUCUUUCUGUGUCUGCUGUGUUUGCGUCUUUUUUUUCAUUUUUUUUAAUCUAUCUAGACAAAGGUGGAAUGGAUAAAACCAAACCUUGUGUUCCAAUCAGGAAUGAUAAACCAAAACCAAACCAAACUUUGUGUUCCAAUCAAGUGGGAGGAUUCAUACUUGAUGUGGUUGAACACUCAAAUCUGAUGCAGGAUAUCACUCCCUGUUACGUGCAUGUAGCCAUGCACCUACCAU
Molecule: non-coding RNA, 611 nt
Organism: Camellia sinensis
Lineage: Eukaryota; Viridiplantae; Streptophyta; Magnoliopsida; Ericales; Theaceae
Source: RefSeq, a predicted model, not a curated record